This 438-nucleotide ribosomal RNA is filed under the name uncultured Kocuria sp. RNAcentral describes it as "bacterial SSU rRNA". It matches the Rfam family "Bacterial small subunit ribosomal RNA", at positions 342 to 791 of the family's 1533-position model. The record is from RNAcentral. Lineage: Bacteria; Bacillati; Actinomycetota; Actinomycetes; Micrococcales; Micrococcaceae.
CGGGGGGCAGCAGUGGGGAAUAUUGCACAAUGGGCGAAAGCCUGAUGCAGCGACGCCGCGUGAGGGAUGACGGCCUUCGGGUUGUAAACCUCUUUCAGCAGGGAAGAAGCCACAAGUGACGGUACCUGCAGAAGAAGCGCCGGCUAACUACGUGCCAGCAGCCGCGGUAAUACGUAGGGCGCAAGCGUUGUCCGGAAUUAUUGGGCGUAAAGAGCUCGUAGGCGGUUUGUCGCGUCUGCUGUGAAAGCCCGGGGCUUAACCCCGGGUGUGCAGUGGGUACGGGCAGACUAGAGUGCAGUAGGGGAGACUGGAAUUCCUGGUGUAGCGGUGGAAUGCGCAGAUAUCAGGAGGAACACCGAUGGCGAAGGCAGGUCUCUGGGCUGUUACUGACGCUGAGGAGCGAAAGCAUGGGGAGCGAACAGGAUUAGAUACCCCAGU